AACUCUAGAUAUGUUCCUUUUGGCUAUUAAAGGAAUUUGGUCCAAGUGAACAUCCCAUUUUUUGUGGCCAAGAUUACUGCUAUAAACAAAAGCAUUGAUUUUUCUCUUUACAAAGUGGUGAAGAAGCAGAGGAGGAAGAAGAAGAAGCAAAAGAAGCAAGCUACCAUGAGAAAGUAAAGAAGACCACCCUUGGGGCAAAAUAAGCAUACAUCAAACACAAAAUUUAGUUGGAGUAAGCAUGAACAAUCCUUCAAUCUAAUCCAUUUUUCUUAGAAGGCUUGUUCACAAUGUACACUUAAGAAAAGACACCCUUUUUUUGCGGUAACAUGUAGACCACCAAACUCAGUAAAAAGGGCUGGUUACAAUCAAAAUGCCCC
RNAcentral lists this long non-coding RNA (377 nucleotides) under Physcomitrium patens. RNAcentral's name for it is "long non-coding RNA (PPAT_LNC008326)". The record is from RNAcentral. Lineage: Eukaryota; Viridiplantae; Streptophyta; Bryopsida; Funariales; Funariaceae.